GAUAACUGGCUUGUGGCAGCCAAGCGUUCAUAGCCACGUCACUUUAUCAUCCUUCAAUGUCGGCUCUUCCUAUCAUGGUGAAGCAGAAUUCACCAGGCGUUGGAUUGUUCACCCACUAAUAGGGAACGUGAGCUGGGUUUAGAUCAUCGUGAGACAGGUC
RNAcentral lists this non-coding RNA (160 nucleotides) under Mus musculus (house mouse). RNAcentral's name for it is "Eukaryotic large subunit ribosomal RNA". It matches the Rfam family "Eukaryotic large subunit ribosomal RNA", at positions 2825 to 2984 of the family's 3401-position model. The record is from Rfam by way of RNAcentral. Lineage: Eukaryota; Metazoa; Chordata; Mammalia; Rodentia; Muridae.